GCAGUUCCCCUGCCAGGAAGGCCUCACCAUGGAUAUACGCAGGAACAUGACCGCUGACCGCACGCGGCACGACCCUGGCCGUUUCUUCUCUUCUCUCGACUCCUGUUUUUCCUAAUCCAAAAAUCGUCGAACCCUAGCGAAGGAGCGGCGGCGGACUCUGGCAGGGUCUUGGGCUGCUGUCGUGUUCCUCUUCGCAGAGGAGAUCUACCGUGCUCGCCCAUCUUCAUCCUCCCUGCUCUGCUCGCCCGCUACCAUGGCCCGCUGCUGCCCCACCACGGCGCCGCGCGGCCACGCGCUACUAGCUCCUUCGGCAAGCUUCGUUUUUCUUUCGGUGCAGCAGGAAUGUGGUAAGAUGUGAGGAUGUGAUCGAUGGUUUAUUGUUUCUGUUUUUGAGUUGGUUGCCGAUGGAAGGAAAUCGUGGUAAGAGAGAUUUUUAAUUUGGGGACUAAUUAGAAGAGUUAAUCGUCGUAUACUCCUGCACUAUAGCCAUGGUUGGAUUAAUUUAGCUUUUCUGCUCUUGGUUGGUGCUCUUCAUUUCUACUGUGGAUAUAUGUGCGAUAUUAAUUUCCACUGAAUUGAACUAAGUAGGUGCAACUGAUUAAAGUGAGUGGAUCAACCACACUUUUUAAGGCAUUUCUGAAUUACAAUUCAUAAAUAUCAUUUUUGUGCAAUAUAAAUUCGAGCAUUGCACAUUCAGAUUGUUUUCUUCAGUCAAAAGGUCUUGAUUUGGGAUGACUGACAAUGAGGACAUUGAAGAUAAGAUGAUCGUGCCUGCCGAUUAAUUUCUUUGGAUUAGAAUAAACUUCUUAUUUGAUACUUCAAUAUCGCAGGGAAUUCUGUAGCUGCUGGUCACGGAUUGUGCCAUCAAAACAUGGGACAUAGAUAUGUUUGUUGAUUCUAACCAGUUUAAAGAGAGACGAAAAGGAAUUCGAUGCUACUGCUAUGUGGAUCUUCUAUUCGGCUGGUGGAUGUUAGUGGCGAGAAGGUUUUUGCAUCUGGCACGCCACCUAUAAUAAGCAGACUGGCAACAGGGGCAGUGGUGAGGAACAAAUGUUCAGGGAAAGAGAAAGACAAUAGAGUUACAUUGUUUGUUACUCGUAUCCAUUAGAAAUAUCAGGUUGUAGGCAGUCCGAUUGCUCAGUAGAUAGCCCCUUGAUUUAUUGACAAUGAUUUGUACUAAAAUUGAUGGAAAGUGUGUGUGUGUGUGUGUGUGUGUGUCCAUUGCUACACAUUGAAAUAAAAUGUCCUGUAUGAUGAAGAUUAAUUCUCAAAUGAAUUUGUUUUGCUUGUAGAAA
Long non-coding RNA from Sorghum bicolor (sorghum), 1295 nucleotides. RefSeq lists it as uncharacterized. The transcript is spliced from 3 exons. The record is from RefSeq and is a predicted model, not a curated record. Lineage: Eukaryota; Viridiplantae; Streptophyta; Magnoliopsida; Poales; Poaceae.